This 120-nucleotide small RNA is filed under the name Devosia geojensis. RNAcentral describes it as "Rhizobiales sRNA Atu_C8". It matches the Rfam family "Rhizobiales sRNA Atu_C8". The record is from Rfam by way of RNAcentral. Lineage: Bacteria; Pseudomonadati; Pseudomonadota; Alphaproteobacteria; Hyphomicrobiales; Devosiaceae.
GAAGGUUGAGAGGCUCUUCGUCGUAGUAGGAAGGCGCGUGGGCAGGUCGGCGUAAGCCGGCCGGCGAAAGCACCCGCGCGCGGUAAGCAGGCCCCGGAAGGGGCUUUUUUCAUGCCCGAU